RNAcentral lists this ribosomal RNA (1372 nucleotides) under uncultured bacterium. RNAcentral's name for it is "bacterial SSU rRNA". It matches the Rfam family "Bacterial small subunit ribosomal RNA", at positions 28 to 1381 of the family's 1533-position model. The record is from RNAcentral.
GAUGAACGCUGGCGGCGUGCCUAAUACAUGCAAGUCGAGCGAACGGACGAGAAGCUUGCUUCUCUGAUGUUAGCGGCGGACGGGUGAGUAACACGUGGAUAACCUACCUAUAAGACUGGGAUAACUUCGGGAAACCGGAGCUAAUACCGGAUAAUAUUUUGAACCGCAUGGUUCAAAAGUGAAAGACGGUCUUGCUGUCACUUAUAGAUGGAUCCGCGCUGCAUUAGCUAGUUGGUAAGGUAACGGCUUACCAAGGCAACGAUGCAUAGCCGACCUGAGAGGGUGAUCGGCCACACUGGAACUGAGACACGGUCCAGACUCCUACGGGAGGCAGCAGUAGGGAAUCUUCCGCAAUGGGCGAAAGCCUGACGGAGCAACGCCGCGUGAGUGAUGAAGGUCUUCGGAUCGUAAAACUCUGUUAUUAGGGAAGAACAUAUGUGUAAGUAACUGUGCACAUCUUGACGGUACCUAAUCAGAAAGCCACGGCUAACUACGUGCCAGCAGCCGCGGUAAUACGUAGGUGGCAAGCGUUAUCCGGAAUUAUUGGGCGUAAAGCGCGCGUAGGCGGUUUUUUAAGUCUGAUGUGAAAGCCCACGGCUCAACCGUGGAGGGUCAUUGGAAACUGGAAAACUUGAGUGCAGAAGAGGAAAGUGGAAUUCCAUGUGUAGCGGUGAAAUGCGCAGAGAUAUGGAGGAACACCAGUGGCGAAGGCGACUUUCUGGUCUGUAACUGACGCUGAUGUGCGAAAGCGUGGGGAUCAAACAGGAUUAGAUACCCUGGUAGUCCACGCCGUAAACGAUGAGUGCUAAGUGUUAGGGGGUUUCCGCCCCUUAGUGCUGCAGCUAACGCAUUAAGCACUCCGCCUGGGGAGUACGACCGCAAGGUUGAAACUCAAAGGAAUUGACGGGGACCCGCACAAGCGGUGGAGCAUGUGGUUUAAUUCGAAGCAACGCGAAGAACCUUACCAAAUCUUGACAUCCUCUGACCCCUCUAGAGAUAGAGUUUUCCCCCUCGGGGGACAGAGUGACAGGUGGUGCAUGGUUGUCGUCAGCUCGUGUCGUGAGAUGUUGGGUUAAGUCCCGCAACGAGCGCAACCCUUAAGCUUAGUUGCCAUCAUUAAGUUGGGCACUCUAAGUUGACUGCCGGUGACAAACCGGAGGAAGGUGGGGAUGACGUCAAAUCAUCAUGCCCCUUAUGAUUUGGGCUACACACGUGCUACAAUGGACAAUACAAAGGGCAGCGAAACCGCGAGGUCAAGCAAAUCCCAUAAAGUUGUUCUCAGUUCGGAUUGUAGUCUGCAACUCGACUAUAUGAAGCUGGAAUCGCUAGUAAUCGUAGAUCAGCAUGCUACGGUGAAUACGUUCCCGGGUCU